This is a long non-coding RNA of Agrilus planipennis (emerald ash borer), 614 nucleotides long. RefSeq lists it as uncharacterized. The record is from RefSeq and is a predicted model, not a curated record. The transcript has 3 exons. NCBI's taxonomy places the organism in Eukaryota, Metazoa, Arthropoda, Insecta, Coleoptera, Buprestidae.
UACAUAAAAAUAAAUAUUCGGUGAUUUCCAGAUAUUUAGAACUCCUCGUUUUUCAUUGUGUUGUUGAUCUCGCCAGACGUUUUUACUAUAUUCCAUUUAUUUCUAAUUAUUUUAUUGUAAUUCUUUUCUUAUUAAUUUCACAGAACUACUGGAAUUAACAAGAAAAUUACAAUGUCAAACAGAAACAAUAAAGAAGAAUCAAGUGGAUGGAGUACUCUUGCGACUGUUGGUGGAAUGGUUGCAGCAUUCGGAUUGGGGGCAUAUUUGUUUAGUAAGUCACCAGAGACUCCUCAAGCCCAUUCUAGUUCUUCACAUCAUUUUUCUUCUCCUCCUCCUCAACCACAACCAAGAACACAGCAUAAUCAUCCGCCUGAAGAUUGUGUGAUUUGUUUGGAGUCUAUCAACGUUAAAAGACUUCCAUGUGGACAUUAUUUUCAUGAUAAAUGUAUAAAUAGCUGGGAGAAUUCUAGAAAUUCAUCAGGAUUUCCCCCAGACUGUCCAAAAUGCAGAGCAUUGUUUUAAUGACAAUUAUAUGUAACAAUUGCUAGGUGCAUUUGUUUUGCUUUGAAAAUUGACAAUGUAUUUUGGAUAUUUAUUAAAAAAAAAAAAGAAAC